GGAUGUGAGGGCGAUCUGGCUGCAACAUGUGUCACUACAUCGAUCUGGCUAGGCGGUUGUCCCCUUCCUCCCUUGCCACUCCAUGUGCAUCCCUCCCGAAGCUGCACGCUAGGUUGAAGAGGAUGACCUUCCCCCAUAGAGGAGGACCGUUCUUCUGUCAAGGGAAUACGAGAGUUGCUAUGCUCCCCUGCUAGAACUUCCAAACAAGCUCUCAAAAUAUUAUGGGAGUACAAAUGUUUUUGGUUACAUGGAUUGCUUUUGUAAUGCUUU
This 270-nucleotide small nuclear RNA is filed under the name Prolemur simus (greater bamboo lemur). RNAcentral's name for it is "7SK RNA (ENSPSMG00000015448.1)". It matches the Rfam family "7SK RNA". Rfam says of the family: 7SK was discovered as an abundant small nuclear RNA in the mid-70s but a possible function has only recently been suggested. Two independent studies have found that 7SK RNA binds the CDK9/cyclin T complex (known as elongation factor P-TEFb). P-TEFb activates transcription by phosphorylating the C-terminal domain of RNA polymerase II. The record is from Rfam by way of RNAcentral. Lineage: Eukaryota; Metazoa; Chordata; Mammalia; Primates; Lemuridae.